GACGAACGCUGGCGGCGUGCUUAACACAUGCAAGUCGAACGGAAAGGCCCUGCUUUUGUGGGGUGCUCGAGUGGCGAACGGGUGAGUAACACGUGAGUAACCUGCCCUUGACUUUGGGAUAACUUCAGGAAACUGGGGCUAAUACCGGAUAGGAGCUCCUGCUGCAUGGUGGGGGUUGGAAAGUUUCGGCGGUUGGGGAUGGACUCGCGGCUUAUCAGCUUGUUGGUGGGGUAGUGGCUUACCAAGGCUUUGACGGGUAGCCGGCCUGAGAGGGUGACCGGCCACAUUGGCAUUGAGGUACGGCCCAGACUCAUACGGGAGGCAGCAGUGGGGAAUAUUGCACAAUGGGCGGAAGCCUGAUGCAGCAACGCCGCGUGCGGGAUGACGGCCUUCGGGUUGUAAACCGCUUUCGCCUGUGACGAAGCGUGAGUGACGGUAAUGGGUAAAGAAGCACCGGCUAACUACGU
This 467-nucleotide ribosomal RNA is filed under the name uncultured bacterium. RNAcentral describes it as "partial 16S ribosomal RNA". It matches the Rfam family "Bacterial small subunit ribosomal RNA", at positions 28 to 506 of the family's 1533-position model. The record is from RNAcentral.